This 1958-nucleotide ribosomal RNA is filed under the name human gut metagenome. RNAcentral describes it as "bacterial LSU rRNA". It matches the Rfam family "Bacterial large subunit ribosomal RNA", at positions 502 to 2443 of the family's 2925-position model. The record is from RNAcentral.
CGUGAGGGAAAGGUGAAAAGCACCCCGGGAGGGGAGUGAAACAGUACCUGAAACCGUGCGCCCACGAGCAGUCGGAGCACCCUCCGGGGUGUGACGGCGUGCCUUUUGUAGAAUGAGCCAGCGAGUCGCUGGCGCGGGGCGAGGUUAACCGAAAGGGAGCCGUAGCGAAAGCGAGCCUUAACAGGGCGACUUGAGUCCCGCGCCGCGGACGCGAAGCCGGGUGAGCUAUCCGUGGGCAGGCUGAAGCGGGGGUAAGACCCCGUGGAGGGCCGAACGCACGUCGGUUGAAAACGGCGGCGAUGACCUGCGGAUAGGGGUGAAAGGCCAAUCAAACCCGGAGAUAUCUCGUUCUCCCCGAAAUAGCUUUAGGGCUAGCGUCGCGCGUUCACCGCCGGAGGUAGAGCACCGGAUGGACGAGGGGGCUUCGCCGCCUACCGAAUCCAACCGAACUCCGAAUGCCGGCGGCCCAGAGCGCGGCAGUCAGAGCAUGUGGGCUAAGCUGUGUGCUCGAGAGGGAAACAGCCCGGACCGCCCGCUAAGGUCCCCAAGUUCCAGCCGAGUGGCAAAGGAUGUGCGUCCGCCCAGACAACCAGGAUGUUGGCUUAGAAGCAGCCAUGCAUUCAAAGAGUGCGUAACAGCUCACUGGUCGAGUGGACAUGCGCCGACAAUACACGGGGCUAAGCUGGACACCGAAGCGGCGGGAUUCUAAUUCAUUAGAAUCGGUAGGGGAGCUUCCCAUGGGCGGAGAAGCCGGAGGGCGACCGACGGUGGAGCGCAUGGGAGUGAGAAUGCUGGCAUGAGUAGCGAGAGACGAGAGAGUAACUCGUCCGCCGUGAACCCGAGGUUUCCUGGGCAAGGCUAAUCCUCCCAGGGUCAGUCGGGGGCUAAGGCGAGGCCGGGAGGCGUAGCCGACGCGCAGCAGGCAGACAUUCCUGCACCGCGCACGCGGCGCUACGACCGACGGGGCGACGGAUGGGGGUGGCUCGGCGGGGUUCUGGACGUCCCCGUGAUGGAGCGCGGCCCGCGGACCAGGGAAAUCCGGUCCGCACGAGGGCGAGGCUCCGGACGAAGCACUUAAGCGAAGCGAGUGAGCCCGAGGUCCCUAGAAAAACCCCUAGGCAGGCGCGUGCGCGCCCGUACCGCAAACCGACACAGGUGGGUGGGUAGAACAUACCGAGGCGAUCGGGUCAACCAUGGUCAAGGAACUCGGCACAAUGGCCCCGUAACUUCGGGAGAAGGGGUGCCCGCGCGUACGUGAACGGACUUGCUCCGGGAGCGGAGGCGGGCCGCAGUGGAGAGGCCCAAGCGACUGUUUACCAAAAACACAGGACUCUGCAGAAGCCGCAAGGCGACGUAUAGGGUCUGACGCCUGCCCGGUGCCGGAAGGUCACGCGGAGGAGUUAGCGCACCGCGCGAAGCCCCGAAGCCAAGCCCCGGUAAACGGCGGCCGUAACUAUAACGGUCCUAAGGUAGCGAAAUUCCUUGUCGGGUAAGUUCCGACCUGCACGAAAGGCGCAACGACUUGGGCGCUGUCUCGACCAUGGACCCGGUGAAAUUGCACUGGUCGUGAAGAUGCGACUUACCCGCGGAAGGACGGAAAGACCCCGUGAACCUUCACUGCAGCUUGGCAUUGGCCGCUGGUCCCGCGUGUAGAGGAUAGGCAGGAGGCGAAGAUCCGGAGGCGCCAGCCCCCGGGGAGCCGCCCUUGGAAUACUGCCCUCGCGCGACCGGCGUCCUAACCCGAGGCCGUCAACCGGCUCGGGGACCGUGCCAGGCGGGCAGUUUGACUGGGGCGGUCGCCUCCUAAAGGGUAACGGAGGCGCGCGAAGGUCCGCUCGGGACGGUCGGCAACCGUCCUUUUGAAUGCAAGAGUACAAGCGGGCUUGACUGCGAGGCCCACAAGCCGAGCAGGUGCGAAAGCAGGCUCUAGUGAUCCGGCGGCCCCGAGUGGGUGGGCC